UACGUAGGCAGCGAGCGUUGUUCGGAGUUACUGGGCGUAAAGCGUGCGUAGGCGGUGUUCCAAGUCUGUUGUGAAAUCUCCCGGCUUAACUGGGAGGGUGCGGCGGAAACUGGGACGCUGGAGUGCGGGAGAGGUAAGCGGAAUUCCUGGUGUAGCGGUGAAAUGCGUAGAUAUCAGGAGGAACACCGGUGGUGUAAACGGCUUUCUGGACCAUAACUGACGCUGAGGCACGAAAGCGUGGGUAGCAAACAGG
Molecule: ribosomal RNA, 253 nt
Filed under: uncultured bacterium
Lineage: Bacteria
Description: partial 16S ribosomal RNA
Rfam family: Bacterial small subunit ribosomal RNA
Source: RNAcentral